CACGUAGGGCGCAAGCGUUGUCCGGAAUUAUUGGGCGUAAAGAGCUCGUAGGCGGUCUGUUGCGUCCGCUGUGAAAACUCGGGGCUUAACCCCGAGCCUGCAGUGGAUACGGGCAGACUAGAGGUAGGUAGGGGAGAAUGGAAUUCCCGGUGUAGCGGUGAAAUGCGCAGAUAUCGGGAGGAACACCGGUGGCGAAGGCGGUUCUCUGGGCCUUACGACGCUGAGGAGCGAAAGCGUGGGGAGCGAACAGG
Molecule: ribosomal RNA, 251 nt
Filed under: uncultured bacterium
Lineage: Bacteria
Description: partial 16S ribosomal RNA
Rfam family: Bacterial small subunit ribosomal RNA
Source: RNAcentral